This 492-nucleotide ribosomal RNA is filed under the name uncultured bacterium. RNAcentral describes it as "partial 16S ribosomal RNA". It matches the Rfam family "Bacterial small subunit ribosomal RNA", at positions 29 to 507 of the family's 1533-position model. The record is from RNAcentral.
AGUGAACGCUGGCGGUAGGCCUAACACAUGCAAGUCGAACGGCAGCACAGUAAGAGCUUGCUCUUACGGGUGGCGAGUGGCGGACGGGUGAGGAAUACAUCGGAAUCUACUUUUUCGUGGGGGAUAACGUAGGGAAACUUACGCUAAUACCGCAUACGACCUACCGGUGAAAGCAGGGGAUCUUCGGACCUUGCGCGAUUGAAUGAGCCGAUGUCGGAUUAGCUAGUUGGCGGGGUAAAGGCCCACCAAGGCGACGAUCCGUAGCUGGUCUGAGAGGAUGAUCAGCCACACUGGAACUGAGACACGGUCCAGACUCCUACGGGAGGCAGCAGUGGGGAAUAUUGGACAAUGGGCGCAAGCCUGAUCCAGCCAUACCGCGUGGGUGAAGAAGGCCUUCGGGUUGUAAAGCCCUUUCGUUGGGAAAGAAAAGCAGCAGGUUAAUACCCCGCUGUUCUGACGGUACCCAAAGAAUAAGCACCGGCUAACUUCGUG